Molecule: ribosomal RNA, 490 nt
Filed under: uncultured bacterium
Lineage: Bacteria
Description: partial 16S ribosomal RNA
Rfam family: Bacterial small subunit ribosomal RNA
Source: RNAcentral
GAUGAACGCUAGCUACAGGCUUAACACAUGCAAGUCGAGGGGAAACGGCAUUGAGUGCUUGCACUCUUUGGACGUCGACCGGCGCACGGGUGAGUAACGCGUAUCCAACCUUCCCAUUACUGUGGGAUAACCUGCCGAAAGGCAGACUAAUACCGCAUAGUCUUCGAUGACGGCAUCAGAUUUGAAGUAAAGAUUUAUCGGUAAUGGAUGGGGAUGCGUCUGAUUAGCUUGUUGGCGGGGUAACGGCCCACCAAGGCUACGAUCAGUAGGGGUUCUGAGAGGAAGGUCCCCCACAUUGGAACUGAGACACGGUCCAAACUCCUACGGGAGGCAGCAGUGAGGAAUAUUGGUCAAUGGACGGAAGUCGGAACCAGCCAAGUAGCGUGCAGGAUGACGGCCCUAUGGGUUGUAAACUGCUUUUGUAUGGGGAUAAAGUUAGGGACGUGUCCCUAUUUGCAGGUACCAUACGAAUAAGGACCGGCUAAUUCCG